AACUACAAAACACCUACAAAAGAAAGAAGAUGCAAAGAAAAAUAGUUGUUGGUUCAAUAAAAAAACACUCCGUUCUUAAAAGAUGACGACACACUUUUAUAAAGACACUAAAUUAAGAGAACAUACAUUCAAAUGAAAUACAUAGACAAACCACCAAAGCGGAGCGGGCUGGUCCGCAUAACCCAUAUAUAUUAAAAAUCUAUAAAUUUCUUUUUGUACCUCAUAAUUUUUUCACAUAGCCUCAUAUUUUCAAAAAUUAUUCAUUCCAAAUUCUACAAUUCAGAAUAUAAAUUUGUAUUAUAGAUUGUGUAAAAUGGAAUAUUGUACAAUCUAAAACACAAAUUUUAACUUUCACAUUCCGAAAUUCAAGAAAAAAUGUUCAAUGAAAAGUGUCAAAUGAUGAUUUGAGUAUUUUUUUUUAGGUGUGGAGUGCAAUAAAAAAAACAUGGAGGUGCAAAAAGAAACCCCCCUCAAUCCGUAAUUCAUAACACCUUCACAAAAUUUGAUAAUGAUUUUUUUAAUAUUUGAUAGUAUUUUUUUGUCUUUCCAACAUAGAUUGUAUGGUUUUAAUACUCAUAUGCAAUAGUCAAAUUUUGGUCUUUUUAUAAUAAAACUUAAGUAUAAUAUUAUAUUAUAUAUAUAUAUAUAUAUAUAUAAUUCUAUACUAUUUUUCAAAUUAUAAUAGUAAUAAUGUGUAAAUUACCUUAAAAAAAUAGUGACUUCUUUAUUUUUGUUUUUAACACUUUAAGGUAUUGAUUUUCAAUUUUUUCGUUGUCAUAUGAAUUGUAAAGUAUUCGCCAAUUGGUUUUAUAAUUAUUUCUUGUAUUCUUAUUUUAUUUUCUACUAUUUUAUGCAUAUCCAGAUUGAAUUUCUAAAAGGUAAUGAAAUUAAAAGACGUGAACAUUUAUGUUUCGAAGUUUCAAAUUAAUUCAAUAACAAGCUUAUUUCAAUACAAUUCUUUCACGAAAUUUUAACAUUUUUGUUACUAAGAAAACUAAAUAGCAAAGACAUAUACCUAAAUGUAAGAACUCUUCAAGCAUCCUUGGAAGACUUGAAAGAACUUCAAGUGUAACAGAAUGACUGAAAAAAACUUCAAAUUUUUUUUCAAGCUUUAAAAGAGAAAUUUGAGAGGUACCAACUUCCAAUAAAAGUUCCUUGGCGGAGAAUAUAGGAGAAGAAUACUCCCAUUUUUAAGUGACUUUGAAAAACAAGAAGACAAACUUUUAAGCGAGUUCAAUUCUUAUUCAUUUUCAAAGUGUUUAGUAUUCUUUCUUAAAUCUUCGCUUGUUUGUUCCCUAUGUGAGCACUUCCUUUUUUUGUCUUUGCCAUAAUUAAUCAAGGAAAGCUUAACUUCAACUCAACAAGACCAAAACUCCACAAUUGAAUUCACCUUAAGAGGCCAACAAGUAACAUCAACAAAGCUCAAUUUAAAUUGGUAAACUCAAAUGGAUUAAAAUUGAAAAACUUCAAAGAGUAAUUUUAAGGACUCAAGGCAAGAAAUUAAAGAUGCAAAAAUAGUUGGCACUCAAAUUUGGAAACCUAAAGAAAAGCACUAAAAUAGAUUGAAUGAAACAAUUUUUUUUUACUAAGAAUGGUUAUGGCAACACUGAUUCAAGAAUUCAUUUAAAUUUUUCUAUAUUGAAUUCUUCUCCCAAAUUUUUACCACAUAUUGCUAACACAAUAGGUAAUAUUCUCACAAAAUUUCAUCUCAAAAUAUGCACUGAAUCAAAUGCAGUAAUUCAAAAUUUGAGAGCUAUUUUUCACACUUCUUUCAAACUUUUUCAAUAUUGACAUCUAGGCUUUUAACAUUUAUCAUUUUUUUGCACUACGAUUUUCGAAUGUGCCUCUUUAACAGGAUAUUAUCAAUAUAUUGAAGUUCUCACGUAAUAUUUCACACCAUUUUAACGUGUAUAUAGCUUGCAAUAAAUGUUCCAACUUGUAUAAAAAAUCAACAAACUACAAAGGGAAGGAAACAUGUGAAAUUGAAAGAAGAUUAUGAUAACUCAAGACAUAAUGAAAAUCUAACUCUAAAGAACUUGUUAAUGGUAUAAUAACAAGCUAAGAGACUCAAAUUCAUAAAUGUAAAAACAUGCAAAGAGCCAAAAUAAAUCGGAUUACACAAUAUUUUGUGGUAGACUCACAAAAUAAAAAAUAAAAACUAAAAUGAAACAAAGUACUAUUAAAAGUUUACGACAUAUAUGGAAUGAAAAUGACUUAAAAGACAUGGAUUAGAUUUAAAACUCAAAUUAAUAAUACUAAAACAAAUAUUGAGCCAAAUAAAAUGAAACAAAAACAAAAACACACAUAGUAGCAUAAGUAUGAAACCUAAAACACAUGUUUUGGUGAUUCAAGAUAGAAUGAAUGAUUAAAUACGGAAUGAAUGUUUUGAACCAAUUAAAAGCAUAAUGAACACAACAUAUUUGGUGAAAUAACCCAAAACAUAUUCAAGAUAUGUAAAACAAAAUGAAGAUAACACAAAAAAAUUUAAGAAGAAAACAAAGGUGAAUAACACUUAGCUUAGACCAAAACCUUGCUCUAGAUACCAAAUGAUUUAAACCUGGUCUUGAAUCCUUACAUGUUUUAGAGUUUAUAAUUUUGAAUGGGUUUUGUGAAGGCAAUGCGAAAGCUGGAUGAAGGUAGAAUUCAUAUUAGAAAGAUGAAUUUGAUACCAGAAAUUUGUAUAGAAUAGACAAAAUUUGUAUGUAAAACAUAGUUACAUAUAAAAUACAUACGGGAAAAAAAUUGUAUGUAAAAUUAUCGUAGAUAGCUGUUACAUAUGAAUUUUAAAAUCCAUAUGUAAAUUACACAUGAAUAUAUUCAUAUGUAAUUACAUACAAAAAAUUGUGUAUGUAAAGUCUGAUGUAUUUACUACGGAAAAAACCGUAUGUAAUAUCCAAUUUCAAUUUUUUCCAAGUCAACUUUAUCAAGAUAUUUUUUAUUUUACAAACCUGAACAUGUAUAUUCAAAAUUUUCUUUUUACAAACCUAAACAUAUAUAUUCAAAAUCAUGAUAAAAUAUUUUUUAGAUUGUAAACGAUUAUAAAAAAAUAAUAAUGAAUGUGGAAAAAGUUUGAUCUAAGUUUAUCGAUGUGAUAAUAUAAAUAUUCAAAAUAUCCAAAAUAUCCAAAUAUAGUUCAUUUGAACCAAAGAAAACAUCUAAGAAAAGAAAUCCAAUGUCAAUACAAAGCUUCUUAACAAACUAAUAAUUAUUAUAAUCACUAGUGGGUGAAUUGUGUUGUUGGUUAUAAUUGUUGUCGUGUUGCACUUGGUCAUUAUAUUGCAUCUGAUUUUGUUGUUGUUGAGUAUUUGGUUGUUGAAAAAUAUUUUGUUUAGUCAUUGUUGCUUGAGUUGGUAUAUAUUGAAGGAUUAAACUAUGAAAUAAUUGAAACUGGAACCUGUUCCUCACUAGUUGUUAGUCGUUGUCUAAGUUCAAUAAUUUCCCUUUUAGACAAAUUCUUUCUUAUUGGAAUGGAGGAUGAAACAAUUGUCAUAUAAAGAAUAUUAUUUAUUUUUAUAGAUGAAGCUUCAAAGUAUAUGUCAAAGCAAAAGUUAAAGGUUUUCCAAAGUCUUGUCUCGGAGGAAGGAAUGAAGGGAAAGACACACAAGUUUAAGGAUUGCUAGAUCUAACUAAUAUAUAUUGAACAACACUGAUAAAGUUCUUCCUUACAUAGCAGUACAUAAAAUGUUAAAAUGUUGUUGAAGUCAAUUGCUUGCAAAUAAAAACUGAUUAUUGACUUAGUAUAGCAAUACCUUUUUAAAAUGGUUUAAAGACAAAAUUAAUAUAUAAGAUUAUAAUGUUGCUAAAUUAAUAUGGUUAGCAUGAUGACUAUGAUGACAACAAAAAACAUACCCGCAAAUAUCCACGGGUAAAAUUCAUAAUCUAAACUUAAUGAAUACUAACACGUAAUGGUUAGGGUUAUUUUAAUUGUUCGCUUGUUCAUAGGACGGGUAUAUAUGCAUAUAAUGAUAUCCAACCUUUCAAUACAAUCAUGGUUAAUGAAUUCUAUUUGAAUAUUUUUUUUUAAAUCAAGUGAUUAAAAUAAAGUUAUUGGUGAGAGAAAUAUUAACCAUUGAACAAUUGUUUUGAAUUUAAUUUCAUAUGCAUAUUUUUUUUAUUUAGACAUGUGAACUUGAAGUUGUUUUUAAGACAAAUAAAUUUUUAAAAUAUAUACUUUAUGUUAUAACAUUAAUUUUUUAAAAAAAGUUAUUUGCACUGAUAUUUUAAUAUGCAUUUUAUUUGAGUUAUACUUUAAAAUUAUUAUUUUUUAUUUAAGUUUAUAUUUUAAAUAAUUGGAUAAAGAGCUAGUUUAGUACAACAUAUAUUAAUAUAUUUCGUUUUUAAUACAAUAAUAAAAAAAUACAAUCUUAGUAUAACAAAUAAUAAUUUUGAUAAUUUUGUUGAACACGUGUUUGGUUUUUUAAUAAUUAUGAAAUGGGUGCACAUCUUUUAUGGGCUAUAAAUUUUAAUAUUCCAUGGACAUGGUUAUUGACAAGGAUUAAUUGAAUCCAUUGUUAGCAAAUCCUUCAUUCACCAACAUACCUUCCCCUUUCACCUUCAUGUUAAUUACUGAAAAAAAUUGAUUUUAAUAUUUUUAAAAUUUUAAAUAAUCUUAAAUGAAGCAUAACCUCACAUUUUUUAAUAACCUCAGUUGCACCUUCGCAAACUCGUACCUUCCUUCCAACCGCAUCACUUCCAUUUUCCUCCAACUGCAGCAUUUGAGAUAACAGAUCUAUCAUUUGAGUGUGUGAGAGAGAAUUGACGAAAACAUUCAUUGUAUUUGACGUUCUCAGUGCGAAGAUAUUUUUUUUUAGUUUUGUACUCCAUUUUUGUACCUCGCUAAUUUUUUUAUGAUUUUUGUAUUUUUGCACCUCGCUAUUUUUUUGUGGGUUGUUUAAUAUGAAUUUAAAUAUGGAUGUUUGUUCUGUCAGUCUAGCUGCAUUUUUUCACCUUACAAUGAUAUAAUUUCCAAUUGUAUACAACAAGAAUGGAUGCACGAGAAGAAAAACUGAAUAGGGGACAAUGAGAGCGUGCAUUUGGGAGUGACCAGAUUAAAAUUAAUUCCAGUUACAUUAUCAACUAAGUAAAAGUUAAAAAUCAAUACUCGCUAAAACCAUGAUUCAUGUUAGAUAUCGCGGAAGAUAUUAUUAACAUUAUGAGAUAUCUCAAAAAUAAAUAAUAUCAUCAUAAUUCGAACAUGUGCAUUGUUUUAUCCAAAAUUUAGUUCAUAAAUAAAAUAAAAUUACACAAAGAAUAAAUAGGAAAAAGGUAGGUUUUUGUUCUAUUUCCAAUGGAGUAAGAAGGAACAUCAAACUUUUAUUUCUAUAUGGAUAAGAAUAUGUUAAUGGAUAAUUUUGAAAUGUGAGAUGAGUGUUGUCAUACUUUUGAAUCAAUAGUUAUCAGAGUCAUCACAAACAACCAUCAGCACUUGAAAAUGAAGAAAAAAAUAUCACACUUUCUAUCAUAUUUUUAAAAAUAUUGUUGGAAUUAAGAAAAAUGUAUGAAGUUAGAACCAAUAUGAAGAUGCAAGAAGAAUUUGGCUCCAUUGUUUGAGUUAAAAUAAAUUAAAAAUUGAUCUGCUAAUCAGUUCAAAGCGUUGAGCACCAUACACGACUAACACAUUACUUUCUAGGUGUAAUUGCCAGAAUAUGAACAUCCUUCCUAACAAAAAUUAUUGCACCAUGAUAUAUAUAUUAGUUAGGAGAAUUUGAGAAACAUUAAGACUAUAGUACUCGUCGUAUUUGAUUUGAUAUUGUUACAUUUCGAAAAGUCAUGAUAAAACACACCUGAUAAUUAUUAAAAAUAAUGUACUUAAUUAUAUUAAUUGUUAUUGAAAUUUAAAUAAAACUAUCAAAAAUAAAAUUACUGUAAAAUAUUUUGUUAUUAUAUUAAAAACAUAUAUCAAUACUUAUAGUAAUAAACUGACUAUUUGUCCUAAAUAAUUUUAUUUAAAAUUGAAAAAUAAAAAUAAAAUAUCCGCAGGUAUUUAUAUAUGUAUAUAUAGGUAUAAAAAUAUCUACAUUCACAUACAUCCAAUAGAUAACGGGACAAAUAAUGAAAGAGAUUUUUUUUAAAUGUGGGUUGGAACUGGUACUAGCACUGGUGCAAAAAGUUUAAAGAUAACAGCUAUAGCUAUUUCAAUUUAUAAUGGCAUCUAUAUAGCCGCAUUUGGUCUACAUACGGUCUUAAAUCCAACACAUAAGAAUGCUGCUAUUUAGUCGCAUUCGUAAAUGAGAUUUAUAAAUGCGAUUAUGGUAAAUAGCUGCAUUACGAAUACGAUUAUGGUAAUAGCCGCAUUUAUAAAUAUUUCUGCUGGAUUUAAGAAUGCAGCUAUGGUAAAUAGCCCCAUUUAUAAAUCUUUGCACGGGAUAUAAGAAUGUGGUUAUGGUAAAUAGUCGUUGUUGUAUAUGGUUGUUGUUUUUUUUCUAGUACAAUCUGUUUAAUGCUUAUACCCAUCUAAAUUGAUUUGUUCAAUUAUAAUCAAGCCAGACAAAUACAUAAAUUCAGAUAAUCAAAUUUUAUAUAUUGAUAAAAAUGUAUUACAAACACUAAUAAUAUAUCUUUAUCUAUUUAAUUCAUACACUAUUCAUCGGCUAACCUAGAGUUAUAAAAAUUUAUGAAAUAUGAAAACCAAUAAUGUUUCACAUAUGAUAUGGCUUCCGAAGACAUUUUGAAGAAUUACUUUUCAAAAUGUGGUUGACAUAAAUUAGUUUUAAGAAACAUAUAUGGUAAAGAAUUAUAAAAUUAAUUUACCAUCAUGUUACCUUAUGCCAAUCACUUUUAAGGUUCAGUCUUACAAUGGUAACCAUCAAUUGCAUAAUGUAAUAACCACACUCAUAGCUUAUUGGUUGUUUAUUACACUAUAAUUCAAUAAAAAGUAAAAGUUAAUAUUGAUAAACAAUUAAAAGAGAAAGAAAAAAAAUUACAAAACCUUUAGUUUUAUCCAGUUCAGAUUUUGAAAAUUUGAACUGGAUCGACCUUUUAGGAUGUUAUAUCCACACCGUGAACUGAUUAAUACGGAGUUAAGUUUUUAGUGUACUUACCUAUCAAUGAUAUUCUUAAAACUUGUGGAUGACUUUUUGUGUAGGAACAUAAUCACACAAUAGUUUUAUAAACCAUUGAUAAGACAAGUAACUGUCAAUGACUUCUAUAUCAUCCAUGAAAAGAGUUAAUAAAUAUUUAAAACAUGAAAUAAUAAUAAUUGACGACAUAUAAUUAAACUUACUUAUUAGAAAACCAUUAUAUCAUUAAGACUAUAGUUAUCGUCAUAUUUGAUUUGAUAUUGUUACAUUUAGAAAAGUCAUUAUAAAACACACCUCAUAAUUAUUGGAAAUCAUGUAAUUAAUUAUAUUAAUUGUUAUUGAAAUUUAAAUAAAACUAUAAAAAAUAAAAUUACUUAAAAAUAUUUUUUUUAUUAUAUUAAAAAAACAUAUCAAUACAUAUAGUAAUAAAUUGACUAUUUAUCCUAAAUAAUUUUAUUUAAAAUUGAAUAAAAAAUAUCCUAAAUAGUUAUAUUUUAUAUAUGCAUAUAGGUAUAAAAGUAUCUACAUUCACAUACAUCGAAUAGAUAACGGGACAAAUAAUGAAGGGGAUUUUUUUAAGAGUACUUCUAUUUUACAAAAAUAUUCCUUUCACAUAAAUAAUUCAGGUACUUAAAAAAGUUGUAUUCAAACGCACGGAAAAAUUGAUUGUACAAGGCAUUUUCUUUUUUAAAAUGUGAGUUGCAGCUAGGUACUAGCAAUGCAUGUCCUGUUUUGUUAGUCACACAAAAUAGAACGUAUUAUCUUCCGUAUUAAUAAUGAACAAAACUUUCCAAAAAUAAUCAUUUCUAUAUAUAUAUAUAUAUAAAUAAUAUUGAAUUGAUAAACGAGUUAGAUAAAUUUAGUUGAUGUAAAGCUUUGAAUGAUUAUUUAUUUUUCAUACACCGGUUAUUUUUAGUUUGUUUUUACUUUAUAUGUAUUUUUAUCAUGUUAUAUUUUAAAGUAAUACAAUUGUGUUUUAACAUUAAAACAUGCCAUGUCAAAGAGUAUGGACAUCUUAUGUUUAUAUAUUUAUAUUUUUAAAUGCUUUGAAAAACUUUUUUUUGUUCAGUAAAAUAUUUGGAGAAUUAUAUAAACAUUAUUGAGAAUAAAUUGGUAUAUUUGCAACUGCUUAUUUUAAGAUGUUACAAAAUUCGUCUAAAUAGUAUAGAAAUAUUUAAUUUAAUUUUCUUCACAUAAUAUUAUUAAAAGUUAUAAUUAAUUUUUCUAAUUUUAAAUUAAUUUGGUUCCUUUUCUCGUGAUAUAAGAAACUAAAUUGAUGUUAAUUUAAAAAUGGAGGAAUUUGAUUCAAGUUUUUUUCAAUAAUAAAAAAAUCAAAUUGAAUAAAUUAUAUAAAUGCUACAAAUAUUUUUCAAAAAACUAAUACAAUAAUAAAUAAUUAGAUUUAAAUACUAAAUAAAAAUAAUUAAAUAUAGAUAUUUAAAUAAAUAAAAAAAUUGAAAUCAAGUCCCAAAAUCCGAAUUACAAUGAAUGAAUUUAAUUCCCUCACGCAUCUUAACAAAUUAUUAGUGACGUGGACGAUAAUACCCUUAAAAAUAUCUAGAUCAGAGGGUUUAUCGUUUAUAGUUAUAAAUUGUCCACGUGAAGCACGCCUUCCAUUAUCUUACCAUUAUCUUAAUUUUAUUAUAAUAAUGUUACAAGUUCCAGAAUCUCUUUACCUGCUUUCAUCUUGCAACAUUUUAAUAUGUUUUAGUUAGAGAAAAAAUAAAUGAAACAAGGAAAAGGAAAAUGAAGAUAAUUAGUAAGAUAUUUAUGAGUUGAUUAAUAGAAAAAAAAGAGUUCAGUAGAUAGGAAAUAACAUAAAUACCUAUAAUAAUAAUAAAAAAAAAACAUAAGAGUACUUUAAUCCUUUAUUCUAUAAAAUGACCUUCCUCUCUCCCUCAUUCAAUGAAUUAUCAUAAUAACGUUGAACGAGGGUUUUAAAUAAUAGACGUUUUUGUAUUCUUAUUAUUUAUUAAUUAAUUUCAGAUUGAUUUUUUUUUUGAGGUGAGAACGUGAAGAUUAGAUAUGUGGAUUUCUUGACCUUAUGAAGGGCGGUGGUCCUACUAACGAAGGGCAUUGUUUUAAACGUGUACCAGUUUUUCGUCCUAUAUCACUUUCCACCUACGUCGUUUUAUGGUUGAAACUGGAUCCACCCACGUGCUAUUGCAUUUGUUUAUUACUUCAUGGAUAAAUAUCGACUGGUAAAAAUAUCCACCUCACAUCUAUUUUGUAAUAAAAUAUUAUAUUUAAAUAAAAUAAUAUUUUUGUUGAGUUAUAGAGAAAGAGGAAUUUCAACAUACAUUAUUUAGUCACUCUUAAUGCUCAUAUCACAUAAUGUUAAUAUAAUAAGAUUUUUUUUUUUACUUUUACAAUAAUUAUUUUAAAACAUUUACUGAAAAUAAUUUUAAUUAAAUAACUAUAUACAAAUGUUUAUAAUUAAAUAAUUUACAUUUAUAUAACAUGUAUUCAAAUUUUAUUGUUUAUAAUAUUUUAUGUGAUUACUAACAUAACUAGCCAACAAUUUACUCAACAAGACUUUGAGCAUCUCUAAUGUAAUGAGUUAUCUGCGUUGUUUCAUUUUAAAAGCGUUAUUUAUAUUUAAUAAAAAACAUCAUUAUAGAGUGAACAACAUAUCAUUGUUCAUGGAAUAGUAACUUUUAAUUAAAUGAAAGCAAUAUGUAUUAUUGAAAGAAGAUAAGAGAGUAGAAUUAUUGUUUUUCGGAUGGGGGUAUUGUUUAUGAAAUGAAACUCAUGCACGUAUCUAUGAUUAAGGAAGGAAAAUUAUAGUUUAACACCCACUCUUUCUAUAAAAAAAAAAAAGAUAGUGUGAAAGUAAGAUCUAGAAACGAAUGAUUGCGAUGGAAAUGGUCCAUGAGUCACAGUAGGUAUCUGGGAAAUAGAGUCUGAAAUACAGACGCAACGACCCAUUUUCUUGUCCCAAAAUCUCCAUAAGAAAGCAAGUAUCCUUUGCUUCUUCAGUUGAACCUCGAGAUGGCUUCAUCAAUGGGAACCAUGGUGGUGGCUUUGCCAAAAACACAGAAGAACCAAGCUCACACCUUCCUAUCCCAACUACCAAACACCCUAAAACCCAAACCCACCAAAACUUUAAAAACUUACACCACCAACUUUACAUGCAGUGCCACGCUUUCAUCUACUCUGCAGAGCACUCAGAAGCAAGAAGAAGAGAAGAAACAAAAACCACUAGCGGAGGUGUGGCGCAAGAUCCACGGGGAGGACAACUGGGCCGGCCUUCUGGAUCCCAUGGAUCCCGUAAUGCGGGCCGAGCUUAUCCACUACGGGGAGAUGGCCCAGGCCUGCUACGACGCCUUCGACUACGAUCCCUACUCCAAAUACUGCGGCAGCUGCAGGUUCUCCGUACCGGAAUUCUUCCAAUCCCUGGACAUGCCCAACGUCGGAUACACCAUCACACGUUAUCUCUACGCGACGGCCAACAUCAAGCUCCCUAAAUUAUUCCGCAAAUCGCGGUGGCCCGACAAGAGGUGGAGCAAGCACGCGAACUGGGCAGGGU
Molecule: long non-coding RNA, 10548 nt
Filed under: Phaseolus vulgaris (common bean)
Lineage: Eukaryota; Viridiplantae; Streptophyta; Magnoliopsida; Fabales; Fabaceae
Description: long non-coding RNA (PVUL_LNC005176)
Source: RNAcentral